UGUCCGGUACCUUACGCAAAACGAUGGUGGAAGGUGAAGAGACAAAGAAAAUGAAUAUACAAACGAGCUACUUCGACGUCGUUGGAAUCUGCUGUUCAUCGGAGGUUUCUAUCGUUGGAGACGUUCUCCGUCCAUUUGACGGCGUUAUAGAAUUCUCCGUCAUCGUCCCUUCGAGAACAGUCAUCGUUGUCCACGACACCUUCUUGAUCUCUCAGCUUCAAAUCGUGAAGGCAUUGAAUCAAGCAUGACUAGAAGCAAGUGUGAGACCAUACGGAGAUACAAGCUUAAAGAGUCAAUGGCCAAGUCCUUUUGCAAUAGUUUCUGGUGUGUUGCUUGCUCUUUCCUUCUUCAAGUACUUCUAUGGUCCGCUUGAAUGGUUUGCUAUUGUUGCGGUGGUGGCCGGAGUUUUCCCCAUCCUUGCUAAAGCUGUUGCUUCGGUUACAAGGUUCAGGCUUGACAUCAAUGCUCUCACUUUAAUUGCUGUGGUAGCAACAGAAUGUAUGCAAGAUUUCACGGAAGCUGCCACAAUUGUGUUUCUAUUCUCAGUUGCAGAUUGGCUUGAGUCAAGUGCUGCUCAAAAGGCAAGCACAGUGAUGUCAUCGCUGAUGAGCUUAGCGCCGCGAAAGGCAGUGAUAGCAGAAACUGGACUAGAAGUUGGUGUAGAUGAGGUUAUGAUCAACACAGUUGUUUCAGUGAAAGCUGGAGAAAGUAUACCUAUCGAUGGAGUUGUGGUGGAUGGAAGCUGUGAUGUGGAUGAGAAAACAUUGACAGGAGAGUCCUUUCCUGUCUCCAAACACAGAGAGUCAACUGUUUUGGCUGCAACUAUAAAUCUUAAUGGUUAUAUAAAGGUGAAAACUACAGCUUUAGCCCGAGACUGCGUAGUUGCUAAAAUGACUAAGCUUGUAGAAGAAGCACAGAAAAGACAAACCAAAACUCAAAGGUUUAUAGACAAAUGUUCUCGCUACUACACUCCAGCUGUUGUUAUAUUAGCAGCAUGUUUUGCUGUAAUCCCGGCUUUGUUAAAGGUCCAUAACCUCAGCCAUUGGUUUCACUUAGCACUCGUAGUGUUAGUAAGCGGUUGUCCAUGUGGUCUUAUCUUAUCCACACCUGUUGCUACCUUUUGUGCUCUCACUAAGGCAGCCACAUCCGGGUUUCUAAUCAAAACUGGUGAUUGUCUAGAGACCCUGGCAAAGAUCAAGACCGUUGCUUUUGACAAAACAGGAACUAUUACAAAAUCUGAGUUCAUGGUUUCGGAUUUUAGGUCUCUUUCUCACAACAUCAAUUUUCACAGCUUGCUUUACUGGGUCUCUAGCAUUGAGAGCAAGUCAAGUCAUCCGAUGGCAGCGGCACUUAUUGACUAUGCAAGAUCAGUUUCUGUUGAGCCUAAGCCUGAUGUAGUCGACAACUUUCAAAAUUUUCCGGGAGAAGGAGUUUAUGGGAGAAUAGAUGGUCAAGAUAUCUACAUUGGAAACAAAAGAAUUGCACAGAGAGCUGGAUGCUUGACAGUUCCGGAUAUUGAAGCUAGUAUGAAGCGGGGUAAGACCAUUGGUUACAUAUACACUGGAGCAGAACUGGUUGGAAGUUUCAACCUUUUGGACGGUUGUAGAUAUGGGGUUGCUCAAGCUCUCAAGGAACUAAAGGCCUUAGGCAUCAAAACUGCAAUGCUCACAGGAGAUAACCAAGACGCAGCCAUGUCUAUUCAAGAACAGUUAGGGAAUGCUUUGGAUAUUGUUCACUCUGAACUUCUUCCACAAGACAAAGCAAGCAUCAUCGAUGAGUUCAAGAGCCAAGGACUUACAAUGAUGGUAGGAGACGGGCUUAACGAUGCACCAGCCUUAGCUAAAGCAGACAUUGGCAUUUCAAUGGGGAUCUCAGGGUCAGCACUUGCAACAGAGACAGGAGAUAUCAUUCUUAUGUCAAACGAUAUAAGGAAGAUCCCCAAAGGGAUGAGACUAGCGAAGAGAAGUCACAAGAAAGUGAUUGAGAAUGUGGUUUUGUCUGUGAGUAUAAAAGGAGCCAUUAUGGUGCUUGGUUUUGCAGGUUACCCUCUGGUUUGGGCAGCUGUUCUUGCAGAUGCAGGGACUUGUUUGCUUGUGAUUAUUAAUAGUAUGUUGCUUCUACGUGAUGAGCGUGAAACGGUGUCUACAUGUUACCGUGCUUCCCCUUCUUCUCUUCGUUUACCGGUGAAGCUUGAGGAGGAUGACGCAGAGGAUCUAGAAGUUGGCUUGCUGCAGAAGAGUGAUGAGACAAGUAAAAAGAGUUGUUGCUCUGGUUGUUGUAGUGGCCCUAAGGAGGAUCAACAAAAGUGAACACCUUCCUCUGAUUUAGAGGGUUCUGUAAACCUGUUUUCAAACCAGACAGAGACCUCUUUAUCUCUUUAAUCAAUGUCCGGUUUAGAAUUAGUGACCUAAAUUUGAUUUGAACCAACAUUCAGAAUGUUUAAUCUAACA
Molecule: non-coding RNA, 2450 nt
Organism: Camelina sativa (false flax)
Lineage: Eukaryota; Viridiplantae; Streptophyta; Magnoliopsida; Brassicales; Brassicaceae
Source: RefSeq, a predicted model, not a curated record